Molecule: ribosomal RNA, 497 nt
Filed under: uncultured bacterium
Lineage: Bacteria
Description: bacterial SSU rRNA
Rfam family: Bacterial small subunit ribosomal RNA
Source: RNAcentral
GAUCAUGGCUCAGAGUGAACGCUGGCGGAAUGCUUUACACAUGCAAGUCGAACGGCAGCACGGACUUCGGUCUGGUGGCGAGUGGCGAACGGGUGAGUAAUAUAUCGGAACGUGCCCAGUCGUGGGGGAUAACGUAGUGAAAAUUACGCUAAUACCGCAUACGAUCUAAGGAUGAAAGCGGGGGAUCGCAAGACCUCGCGCGAUUGGAGCGGCCGAUAUCAGAUUAGGUAGUUGGUAGGGUAAAGGCCUACCAAGCCAACGAUCUGUAGCUGGUCUGAGAGGACGACCAGCCACACUGGAACUGAGACACGGUCCAGACUCCUACGGGAGGCAGCAGUGGGGAAUUUUGGACAAUGGGCGAAAGCCUGAUCCAGCCACUCCGCGUGCAGGAUGAAGGCCCUCGGGUUGUAAACUGCUUUUGUACAGAACGAAAAGGUCUCUAUUAAUACUAGGGGCUCAUGACGGUACUGUAAGAAUAAGCACCGGCUAACUACGUG